GACGAACGCUGGCGGCGUGCUUAACACAUGCAAGUCGAACGGAAAGGCCCUGCUUUUGUGGGGUGCUCGAGUGGCGAACGGGUGAGUAACACGUGAGUAACCUGCCCUUGACUUUGGGAUAACUUCAGGAAACUGGGGCUAAUACCGGAUAGGAGCUCCUGCUGCAUGGUGGGGGUGGGAAAGUUUCGGCGGUUGGGGAUGGACUCGCGGCUUAUCAGCUUGUUGGUGGGGUAGUGGCUUACCAAGGCUUUGACGGGUAGCCGGGCUGAGAGGGUGGCCGGCCACAUUGGGACUGAGAUGCGGCCCAGACUCCUACGGGAGGCAGCAGUGGGGAAUAUUGCACAAUGGGCGGAAGCCUGAUGCAGCAACGCCGCGUGCGGGAUGACGGCCUUCGGGUUGUAAACCGCUUUCGCCUGUGACGAAGCGUGAGUGACGGUAAUGGGUAAAGAAGCACCGGCUAACUACGUG
Molecule: ribosomal RNA, 468 nt
Filed under: uncultured bacterium
Lineage: Bacteria
Description: partial 16S ribosomal RNA
Rfam family: Bacterial small subunit ribosomal RNA
Source: RNAcentral